GACAGGAUGGCCGAGUGGUUAAGGCGGUAGUUUCGAAUCCGCUGAAUGCGAUCGAUCAGCUACUUCACUAUGUGAGCGUGAGUUCAAAUCUCACUUCUGUCG
This is a non-coding RNA of Melampsora americana, 102 nucleotides long. NCBI's taxonomy places the organism in Eukaryota, Fungi, Basidiomycota, Pucciniomycetes, Pucciniales, Melampsoraceae. The record is from the annotation of a GenBank genome assembly.